AAGAUGGAUGUAUACGGUUCCCAAACUCAGUAUUAUUUAUAUUUUCGGUUAACUGUGACUUGGACAGAGUUUCAAAGAAUGUUUUAUCUUAAAUUAUGGAGUUUAUUCUAUGUUUUCAUACUGUUAGCGCUCGUUAGCAGCAGACCCCAGGACUUUGAUUAUGAUGAAGGCAGACAUGAUAACCACGAAAAAGAUGAGGUUGGCAGAGUUCAGAUUAAAGUGUACCGCGGUCCGACCAAGCACGAUGGCUAUGCCCCCUGGGGUUUCUGGGUGAAGCAACCAUCAGAUGAGGAGUGACGAUGGUUUAUUGUUAGAUGUAGUGUGUAUUUUUCAUUUUUUUUUUUAUCAAGACCAAAGAUUAAACCUUACUCCGCUUCAAUUACGUCAUAUUUGAGAUGUAUUAAUUUUAAUAAAUAUAUUACUUCUAUCUUU
Molecule: long non-coding RNA, 432 nt
Organism: Danaus plexippus (monarch butterfly)
Lineage: Eukaryota; Metazoa; Arthropoda; Insecta; Lepidoptera; Nymphalidae
Exons: 3
Source: RefSeq, a predicted model, not a curated record